CUGACAAUUUAAACAACCUAUUAAUGGGUUGGCCCAUGGACACAUAUGCCCACAUAGGUGGCAGUGUUGGGCCAAGGGCAAGGUUCUGAACUAACCACUGUCAUUUAAACUCUCAGGUGUGCUUCACAGAUGACCUCACCCUUAUAAAACCCAAAACUACUUUAGGCCCCAGAUACAGAAGGAAAGAUCAUGUUUUAUAGUUAAUACAACAACAAAAAGAAAUUAGCAACAAAACAACUGUCGAUAUACACACGCUGGAGCUUCAUACCCAGCGCACAUCAUCAUGUUUCCAUCGAUGACAUGAACGCCUCUAUAAGCUGCCACGCAUCUGGUCGUAUUGACAAUGGGGACGUCAACUUCUUGCAGAGUUUGUGAAGAAUCAAACCCUGUGUUCUCUGUGGUUGAUUCGGAAUACAGAACAGAGCAUUCAAGGGAAUUCCCCUAAACAGCGACCAACCGUUUCAAUCUCUCUUCGUUGCCUCCUAGUGGUAUCGAGAUGUGUAAGAUGAGAACUCCUGGUGGUCCCGAGGUAAACAAGAAGACCGGAGUAAGAUACAGAUCUGUAAGAGGGCCAGGCAGCCACCACUGAAGCCGUUCCACGGAAAACUCUUCUUUCAGUUUCUGUUGGGGCAACUGGUACCACCAUGCUUCUUAU
Molecule: non-coding RNA, 655 nt
Organism: Ciona intestinalis (vase tunicate)
Lineage: Eukaryota; Metazoa; Chordata; Ascidiacea; Phlebobranchia; Cionidae
Source: RefSeq, a predicted model, not a curated record